RNAcentral lists this transfer RNA (73 nucleotides) under Cordylochernes scorpioides. RNAcentral's name for it is "tRNA-Thr". Lineage: Eukaryota; Metazoa; Arthropoda; Arachnida; Pseudoscorpiones; Chernetidae. The record is from RNAcentral.
GUCCAGGGGCGGGAAUCGAACCCACAACCUUCUGCUUACCGCGCAGGUGCCAUGUCCACUAGGCUACCCUGGA